RNAcentral lists this ribosomal RNA (439 nucleotides) under uncultured Bacteroides sp. RNAcentral describes it as "bacterial SSU rRNA". It matches the Rfam family "Bacterial small subunit ribosomal RNA", at positions 338 to 774 of the family's 1533-position model. The record is from RNAcentral. Lineage: Bacteria; Pseudomonadati; Bacteroidota; Bacteroidia; Bacteroidales; Bacteroidaceae.
CCUACGGGAGGCAGCAGUGAGGAAUAUUGGUCAAUGGGCGCAGGCCUGAACCAGCCAAGUAGCGUGAAGGAUGACUGCCCUAUGGGUUGUAAACUUCUUUUAUAUGGGAAUAAAGUUUUCCACGUGUGGAAUUUUGUAUGUACCAUAUGAAUAAGGAUCGGCUAACUCCGUGCCAGCAGCCGCGGUAAUACGGAGGAUCCGAGCGUUAUCCGGAUUUAUUGGGUUUAAAGGGAGCGUAGGUGGACAGUUAAGUCAGUUGUGAAAGUUUGCGGCUCAACCGUAAAAUUGCAGUUGAUACUGGCUGUCUUGAGUACAGUAGAGGUGGGCGGAAUUCGUGGUGUAGCGGUGAAAUGCUUAGAUAUCACGAAGAACUCCGAUUGCGAAGGCAGCUCACUGGACUGCAACUGACACUGAUGCUCGAAAGUGUGGGUAUCAAACA